Molecule: ribosomal RNA, 287 nt
Filed under: Hapsidophrys smaragdina
Lineage: Eukaryota; Metazoa; Chordata; Lepidosauria; Squamata; Colubridae
Description: Hapsidophrys smaragdinus partial 12S ribosomal RNA
Source: RNAcentral
AAAGACUUGACGGUACUUCACAUCAACCUAGAGGAGCCUGUCUAAUAACCGAUAUUCCACGAUCAAUCCAACCCGCCCUGGCCCAACAGUCUAUAUACCGCCGUCGCCAGCCUACCUUGUGAAAGUAACAAAGUGGGCUAAAUAAUCAUUCACUAACACGACAGGUCGAGGUGUAACUCAUGGGCGGGACCAAGAUGGGCUACAUUUUCUAUCACAGAAAAUACGAAUAAACUAUGAAACAAGAAACUGAAGGCGGAUUUAGCAGUACACUGAGAACAAGAUACUCA